RNAcentral lists this ribosomal RNA (497 nucleotides) under uncultured bacterium. RNAcentral's name for it is "partial 16S ribosomal RNA". It matches the Rfam family "Bacterial small subunit ribosomal RNA", at positions 28 to 507 of the family's 1533-position model. The record is from RNAcentral.
GAUGAACGCUGGCGGCGUGCCUAAUACAUGCAAGUCGAGCGAACAGACCAGUAGCUUCCUCCUCUGACGUUAGCGGCGGACGGGUCAGUAACACGUGGAUAACCUACCUAUAAGAAAGGGAUAACUUCGGGAAACCGGAGCUAAUACCGGAUAAUAUAUUGAACCGCAUGGUUCAAUAGUGAAAGACGGUUUUGCUGUCACUUAUAGAUGGCUCAGCGCCGCAUUAGCAAGUUGGUAAGGUAACGGCUUACCAAGGCAACGAUGCGUACCCGACCUGAGCGGGUGAUCGGCCACACUGUAACUGAGACACGGUCCAGACUCCUACGGGAGGCAGCAGUAGGGAAUCUUCCGGAAUGGGCGAAAGCCUGACGUAGCAACGCCGCGUGAGUGAUGAAGGUCUUCGGAUCGUAAAACUCUGUUAUUAGGGAAGAACAAAUGUGUAAGUAACUAUGCACGUCUUGACGGUACCUAAUCAAAAAGCCACGGCUAACUACGUG